Non-coding RNA from Pan troglodytes (chimpanzee), 148 nucleotides. It matches the Rfam family "Metazoan signal recognition particle RNA". Rfam says of the family: The signal recognition particle (SRP) is a universally conserved ribonucleoprotein. It is involved in the co-translational targeting of proteins to membranes. The record is from Rfam. NCBI's taxonomy places the organism in Eukaryota, Metazoa, Chordata, Mammalia, Primates, Hominidae.
GCCUGGCAUGGUGGCUCAUGCCAGUAAUCCAAGCUACCUGGGAGGCUGAGGUGGGAGGAUCUCUUGAGCCCAGGAGUUUGAGGCUGCAGUGAGCUAUGAUGACACCACUGCACUCCAGCCUGGGCAACAGAGUGAGACCCCAUCUCUA